UACAGAGGGUGCGAGCGUUGUUCGGAAUUACUGGGCGUAAAGAGUGUGUAGGCGGUGCUCUAAGUCUGUUGUGAAAUCUCCCGGCUUAACUGGGAGGGUGCGGCGGAAACUGGAGUGCUAGAGGGUGGGAGAGGAAAGCGGAAUUCCUGGUGUAGCGGUGAAAUGCGUAGAUAUCAGGAGGAACACCUGCGGUGUAGACAGCUUUCUGGACCACUUCUGACGCUGAGACACGAAAGCGUGGGUAGCAAACAGG
This 253-nucleotide ribosomal RNA is filed under the name uncultured bacterium. Its description in RNAcentral is "partial 16S ribosomal RNA". It matches the Rfam family "Bacterial small subunit ribosomal RNA", at positions 524 to 776 of the family's 1533-position model. The record is from RNAcentral.